UGUGAGAGUAAAAACCAAAGUCGAAAAUCAUCUCAACUGCUCUGCUACUCUUGGACAUUGGUCAGAAGAUAGUCCAGCAUUAACCCCCUGAGACUGAAGUUGCAUCAAUUGUCGUUGAUUAAGCUUUAACCACAUAUUUAUGGGGAAGCCUAAGUGGUGUUUGCUGGUUGAAAUAGCUCUGAUUUACAACAACAGGUCAUGGCCAACUUGGUGUUGUAGUCAACAUCUGCUCAAUUAGCUCCGGGUAGUGCAUCAUUAGAGCUAGACUUGGCACUUCUUCGUUCUGCUUAUUGGUCCCAGGUCAGCAGGUAUCUUGACUUCCUCCAGUUAACCUGACUCAUAAGGCUAAACCACAUUCUCAGACUCAUAAGAAGCUAGUAGUUUUUUUGAUAAUUGUAUUAUAAUAACUAAAAAAGAAGACUGGAAAGGUGAAACCAACAGACGAGAGAAACUGAUGAAGUACACGUGGCAUCCCUAAAUCAACCAAACCUAUACUCCAUUGUUCUUUCGACCAAACCCUGAAUCUCCCUCAUCUCUCAGCUCCAUUGUUUGUUUUCUGCUUCUUUACAAGGAGAAAUGGUACUAGUUAUGAAGCUUAGAACAUAAUCGAUCUUCCUCUCUAUCUUCAUCUUUUAGCUCUGUCCCUCUCGCGGUUCUUUCAGCUACGUUUUCUUCUUGUGUUUCUGAGUGAUGAGUGUUACUGUUCUAAUGUCAAACCUUUGAUAUUUCUCUCAGUCUCAUUCGAUGUCAUAGAGAAAUGGGCAUUG
This is a long non-coding RNA of Arabidopsis thaliana (thale cress), 767 nucleotides long. RefSeq annotates it as other RNA. NCBI's taxonomy places the organism in Eukaryota, Viridiplantae, Streptophyta, Magnoliopsida, Brassicales, Brassicaceae. The transcript has a single exon. The record is from RefSeq.